GAUGAAGAACGUAGCAAAAUGCGAUAAGUAAUGUGAAUUGCAGAAUUCAGUGAAUCAUCGAAUCUUUGAACGCACAUUGCGCCCGCCAGUAUUCUGGCGGGCAUGCCUGUUCGAGUGUCAUUUCAACCCUCAAGCACAGCUUGGUGUUGGGACUCGCGUUAAUUCGCGUUCCCCAAAUUGAUUGGCGGUCACGUCGAGCUUCCAUAGCGUAGUAGUAAAACCCUCGUUACUGGUAAUCGUCGCGGCCACGCCGGUAAACCCCAACUUCUGAAUGUUGACCUCGGAUCAGGUAGGAAUACCCGCUGAACUUAAGCAUAUCAAUAAGCGGAGGA
RNAcentral lists this unclassified non-coding RNA (332 nucleotides) under soil metagenome. Its description in RNAcentral is "partial contains 5.8S ribosomal RNA, internal transcribed spacer 2, and large subunit ribosomal RNA". The stretch from base 1 to 120 matches the Rfam family "5.8S ribosomal RNA", at positions 35 to 154 of the family's 154-position model. The record is from RNAcentral.